ACCUUCAGUUAUGCUCUCUAUAUCUAGGCAAAGAUCAGAGUGCAGUGUUUGAAAAUCCUGACUAUCAUUUUCCAUUUUACUUGGGUUUGCCUUAGUUACAUUUUCUGAAUAGAAAUUGUUCAAGUAAAUGCAGCACAGUAAAUUAUCUUAAAUUACUUCUUACAGUCCAGACUAGUAUUAUAACAUGAAAAUUGUUACUUGGAGUCUCCCACGCCCCUGACUGCUGCAGACCUAUGUCUCCAGGCUGGGAAGAAAUGGAUCACAGUACUUACCCAGCAGAGCCUGCAAGCCAAUCCAGCACGUGGAAAGUGGAGUUCGCAUAAAGGAGGUGAAUCCCUUAGACUGCAGCAGUGAUGAUGGCUCAUCCUUGGCAGAAACAUGCUGAGAAGCAGUUGGGAGCUGCAGCCUGAGGAACUUUAGGGUGUAAGAAGUGCCUUUGAGGUAGAGCUCUCUCACAUGGUGAUGGCUAUACAUCUAAUGCUGAUCCCAACUUGGUGGAAUCUGUCUCCAAGUAAAUAAGACUGGCAGCAAGGCUGGGAGUGCAAUCACCUGUUGGCAUAAUCCCUGGAAUUCUAAAAAGGGAAACUCAGAAAUGCCUACCUGACUGUCCCAGAGAACUGCCAUCCAAAGGAGCAGCCUACAGCAGCACAAGCAUUUCAUCUUCCAGAUUUGUGGAGACGUGGGAUUUGUUGAUGCUGAAGGGAGGAGGAAGUCAAGGGAGAAAAAAAGAAUUCUGGGAGGUAAGCAGCAGACAACAUUUUUCCUAGACAAGUUGAUUCUAGAUGAAGCCUCAAGUUUGUCUUACUCGUGUAAUUACUGUAGCCAUUAUAGCUAAUAGGCUUUAUGAUCUUGGAGAACCAUCUCACUUGUGUAAAUUAAUCGCACAAUAUUUUGCAGUUGUUUUGCUGAUAUAGGUUAAUGGACCUUUAGUAGGAUAUAGGUAUAACUAAUACAAAUGAGAGUUACAGUGUAAUUGUGUAGUGGAUAGCCACAGACCUUAUGAAACUAUAAGAAAACAGAAAUGCUUUCAAUAGAAAUGAAGUGUCUUAUAUGAUUUUAAAUAUUUGCAAUUUGUUAUUAUUUGUAGCCAUAAAAAUGCUUUGCCUAAAACAAGCCAUUUGGAACUCAUCUUUCUGUGUCUGACUGGAAGUUUAGCUGUGGUCUUCUGCUGAGAGAGGAUUUGGUCCUUCAUUUCCCAUCCCUCCCCCCCAAUCCUUUUCACAUCUGCAGAGGGACUUAUAUCAAGAAAAUGAAACUCUCUCCCAUAUAGCAAAUUUAGUCAGGGCCAGCUGGUGGCCACAUCUCGAACUCAGCAUUUGAGAUGCUUCCACUGAGCCUGCAUCUUUUACUGGGGAAGGCAAGAGCAGUUCAGGAAAAGUUUCCAGGCUAUGUUCUAGGAAGAGAAAGGGAUGGCUUCCUACCCCGAGCACAAAGGUGAGAGCAGGGAUAUAGCCCCACCCUGAUCUGUGCCUGCUACUCUUCAGAGGGUGAUCAGGAAAUUGCCCUCAAUCCCAGCUGGCCACUGAGUGGAAUUAUCCGUUGGGGCUGCUAAGUGUAGACUGCCCAAACUCACCUUUUCUAAUCGUCCCACUCCAAUCCUUAUCUAUAUUUUUAAAAUAAGAAAAAGACAAGUAAACAAACAAGGUGUAAUUAUAUCUGGAGGUUAUUCCAAUAGGAUAUUCUCAAAAGAUCUUCUCUUUUUUGUUUUGAAUAAUGGAGAAAGUUAUGACUUAAUUGCUUAUUCCAACAGUAGGCUAUGUUCUGUGCUGAAUGCCCCAUUUUAGCAAUAGCUCCUGUUUAACUCAGUACUACUGGCUGUUAAAAGCUGAUUUAAAAGUUAAAAGGAACAAACUAGUUUAUUGCUUUGGCCUCAAGUAAUCAAAGCAACUGAAAAUUCAUAAUGAAAAAAAGACAUUUGUGUUUGUCCUCCAUACUAAUACAACUGAAUUAAUGGUGUCCAUCCUUUUUAACCCCCACCUGUUUUUUUCUGACCAAUAUAAUUUUCUUUAUAUUUUCCACAGUGUUCUGUUGUACCAAAAAUAUUCUUUCAAGUGGUGUUUGUUAUUCCAACUCUAGGCAAAGUCAUAUAGUUCUGAAGAUUCAUUCUGCAGCAGGACAGCUUUGUUUCAGGCUGCCCUUUGAAAAAUAUUGUAAUGCUUGCAAGUUCUGGGCCCUGAAUGUUUCCAUUUUCCUGCUAAGCGCUGCACACAAUUCCAGAGAUGUUUGGAGUUCUUGGGCACUGGAAUUUCAUCACUCUAAGUUCUGCCUCUCUUGCCACAUUUUAAAGUUGCAAAAUAACUCCUUGUAUGAAACAUAAUAUUCAGUUUGAUCUGUGUUCCUUUUACUCAACUUAAGGAAUCCUAAAUCUGCUUUUUCUUUUUAUCCUAUCAUUCUGUUCAUUAUGUUGCUGUGUAUAUAACUGACUCAUCAGUUCUCCUGAUCUGAACUGUACUCUUUAAUAUGAGCAUUUAUAUCUGCAUGAGAAAUAUUUUGAAAACUGUCUGAAAACACAGAAGCACAGUAGCUCUAGAAAAAUAAUUUUAGGAGAUCCGAAAAAGAUUUCAAGAAGCAAAGCAGCUGCUUUUGCAUUUUAUUUUUCUGAAACCUCUUAGUCUUUGGGCUUGGAAAUUUAUGCUGCAUUUGAGAUAUCUUUUGGGGAGAAACAGCAUGUGUAAUGGUGACAGAAUCAGUGCCAGAUUUAAAAAUAACCCCAGCAGCAGCAGAAUGCUGUCCCUUGCAAUUCAUCUCCCUGCUCCAGCAUUCCUUGUAUAAUUUCAGUUAUCAUCUUUCACAAUUAAAUAGUUAUAAAAUGAAUUUUAAGAGAACUUAAUGUGAUUCUGAGUGCACCAAAAACCAUGUGGUGUAUAUCACACACACUGCUUGCUGAACUAAGGAGAGAAAUUAUCAAGUUAGUUAUGUGGAAGCUUUCCACAGUCUCCUUACGUGACCUUGUGCAAGGCCAUGAAUGUUUGAGGUCAGAAGGAGCAUAAAUAUUCAUUUCUGCAUGACUCAUUCUGAAUACUCCACUAGACAAAUUUUAAAAUAAUUCUAGUUAACCAGCACUGAAAGCAUUUUGGACAUCGAACAUUAAUGUUCUACAUGUUGGUUUGGCAAAAGAGUCUUUUCCAGCGUUUUUCUACUGGAAAACAAAAGCUUUGAUCAGACUGCCCCCUGCAGAAAGCACAGCAGUGCUGUUU
Molecule: non-coding RNA, 3197 nt
Organism: Meleagris gallopavo (turkey)
Lineage: Eukaryota; Metazoa; Chordata; Aves; Galliformes; Phasianidae
Source: RefSeq, a predicted model, not a curated record